UACCAGCACCCCGAGUGGUCGGGACGAUUAUUGGGCCUAAAGCAUCCGUAGCCGGUCCUACAAGUCUUCCGUUAAAUCCACCUGCUCAACAGAUGGGCUGCGGGAAGAUACUAUAGGGCUAGGAGGCGGGAGAGGCAAGCGGUACUCAGUGGGUAGGGGUAAAAUCCUCUGAUCCAUUGAAGACCACCAGUGGCGAAGGCGGCUUGCCAGAACGCGCUCGACGGUGAGGGAUGAAAGCUGGGGGAGCAAACCGGG
This 255-nucleotide ribosomal RNA is filed under the name uncultured bacterium. RNAcentral describes it as "partial 16S ribosomal RNA". It matches the Rfam family "Archaeal small subunit ribosomal RNA", at positions 474 to 728 of the family's 1478-position model. The record is from RNAcentral.